AUAAGAGCAUUUGGUGGAUGCCUUGGCAUUAGAAGGCGAUGAAGGACGUAAUACGCUGCGAUAAGCUUCGGGGAGUUGCGAAUAAACUUUGAUCCGAAGAUUUCCGAAUGGGGAAACCCACCUAAUUUAUUAGGUAUUGUAUAGUGAAUACAUAGUUAUAUGAGGCAAACCCAGCAAACUGAAAUAUCUAAGUAGCUGGAGGAAAGGACAUCAACCGAGACUCCGUUAGUAGUGACGAGCGAACGCGGACCAGGCCAGUGGCUUCAAAAAAAUAACUAAAACAACAUGGAAAGGUUGACCAUAGAGGGUGAUAGUCCUGUAUAGGUAAAAAGUUUGAAGUCCUUGAGUAAGGCGGGACACGUGAAAUCCUGUCUGAACAUAGGGGGACCACCCUCUAAGCCUAAGUACUCUCUAGUGACCGAUAGUGAACAAGUACCGUGAGGGAAAGGUGAAAAGUACCCCGACAAGGGGAGUGAAAUAGUAUCUGAAACCAAAUGCUUACAAGCAGUCGGAGCAAGCGUAUUUAUAUGUCUUGUGACGGCAUACCUUUUGUAUAAUGGGUCAGCGACUUAGUUUAUCUAGCAAGCUUAAGCCAUUAGGUGUAGGCAUAGCGAAAGCGAGUCUGAAUAGGGCGUUUAGUUAGAUGAAUUAGACCCGAAACCGGGUGAUCUAGCCAUGGCCAGGUUGAAAGCGGAGUAAAAUCCGCUGAAGGACCGAACCCACUACUGUUGAAAAAGUAGGGGAUGAGUUGUGGUUAGGGGUGAAAGGCCAAUCAAACUCGGAUAUAGCUGGUUCUCCGCGAAAUCUAUUUAGGUAGAGCGUUAUAGCGAUUACCGUCGAAGGUAGAGCACUGAAUGAGCUAGGGGGUCCCACAGACUUACCAAACUCAAUCAAACUCCGAAUGUCGACGAGUACAGCAUAGCAGACAGACUAUGGGUGCUAAGGUCCAUAGUCGAGAGGGAAAAAGCCCAGACCGCCGUCUAAGGUCCCUAAAUCAUGACUAAGUGUUAAAGGAUGUGAGAAGACCAAAACAACUAGGAUGUUGGCUUAGAAGCAGCCAUCAUUUAAAGAAAGCGUAAUAGCUCACUAGUCUAAAUAAGUUUUCUUGCGCCAACAAUGUAACGGGGCUCAAGUCAUGUACCGAAGAUGCGGAUUUAUGCAUUUGGCAUAAAUGGUAGCGGAGCGUUCCGUAAGCCUGCGAAGGUGAACCGUAAGGUUUGCUGGAGGUAUCGGAAGUGAGAAUGCUGACAUAAGUAGCGAUAAAGAAUGUGAGAAACAUUCUCACCGAAAGUCCAAGGGUUCUUGCAUAAAGUUAAUCUGUGCAAGGUUAGUCGGCCCCUAAGAUGAGGCUGAAAGGCGUAAUCGAUGGGAAUCAGGUUAAUAUUCCUGAACCUGAAGGAUGUGACGAAAAUAGUAAAUUGUACAGUCUUAUUGGAUUGAUUGUGCAGUGAAUAUUUUCCAGGAAAUAACACCUUCACAUGGACCUCUCACAUAACUUAUUUAUAGAGAGAAAUUUGUAGGAGACACGAAACACAAAACCGCAGCGUACAUAAGCGUACGUGAGGAUUUGAGUAUCGGAUCGACGCACAAAUUGCCUCUAGAAAUAAGUUAUGUGAGAGGUCCAUAAAGACCGUACCCGAAACCGACACAGGUGGACAGGUAGAGUAUACCAAGGUGCUUGAGAGAACGAUGCUGAAGGAACUAGGCAAAUUGCAUCUGUAACUUCGGAAGAAAGAUGACCUGUAUAUGGGCAACCAUGUGCAGGUGGCACAAGCUAGGGGGUAGCGACUGUUUAUUAAAAACACAGGGCUCUGCAAAGUCAAUAGACGACGUAUAGGGUCUGACGCCUGCCCAGUGCUGGAAGAUUAAAAGGAGGGGUGCAAGCUCUGAAUUGAAGUCCCAGUGAACGGCGGCCGUAACUAUGACGGUCCUAAGGUAGCGAAAUUCCUUGUCGGGUAAGUUCCGACCCGCACGAAUGGCGUAACGAUUUCCCCACUGUCUCCAGUAUCGACUCAGCGAAAUUGAAUUCUCCGUGAAGAUGCGGAGUUCCCGCGGUCAGACGGAAAGACCCCGUGAACCUUUACUAUAGCUUUGCACUGGUGUUAGAAAUCAGAUGUGCAGGAUAGGUGGGAGACUACGAAGCGAAGGCGUCAGCCUUUGUGGAGUCACCCUUGAGAUACCACCCUUUUGGUUCUUGAUAUCUAACCGAGAUCCUUGAAUCAGGAUCCGAGACAAUGCAUGGUGGGUAGUUUGACUGGGGCGGUCGCCUCCCAAAGAGUAACGGAGGCGCGCGAUGGUUAGCUCAGGUUGGUCGGAAAUCAACUUUUAGAGUGCAAUGGCAUAAGCUAGCCUGACUGCGAGUCUGACAAGACGAGCAGAGACGAAAGUCGGUCAUAGUGAUCCGGUGGUCCCGAGUGGAAGGGCCAUCGCUCAACGAAUAAAAGGUACUCCGGGGAUAACAGGCUGAUGAUUUCCAAGCGUCCAUAGCGACGAAAUCGUUUGGCACCUCGAUGUCGGCUCAUCACAUCCUGGGGCUGGAGAAGGUCCCAAGGGUUCGGCUGUUCGCCGAUUAAAGUGGUACGUGAGCUGGGUUUAGAACGUCGUGAGACAGUUCGGUCCCUAUCUGCCGUGGGUGUAGGAAGUUUGAGAGGAUCUGCCUUUAGUACGAGAGGACCGAGGUGGACGUACCCCUGGUGGACCAGUUGUCGUGCCAACGGCACAGCUGGGUAGCUAAGUACGGAAGGGAUAACCGCUGAAUGCAUCUAAGCAGGAAACCUACCUCAAAACUAGACUUCCCUAUUAGAGCCGUGGAAGACCACCACGUUGAUAGGUCGGGUGUGGAAGCACAGUAAUGUGUGUAGCUAACCGAUACUAAUAGCUCGAUUGAUUUACUU
Molecule: ribosomal RNA, 2894 nt
Filed under: Rickettsia helvetica C9P9
Lineage: Bacteria; Pseudomonadati; Pseudomonadota; Alphaproteobacteria; Rickettsiales; Rickettsiaceae
Description: bacterial LSU rRNA
Rfam family: Bacterial large subunit ribosomal RNA
Source: RNAcentral